RNAcentral lists this transfer RNA (70 nucleotides) under Aneurus sublobatus. Its description in RNAcentral is "tRNA-Ser". It matches the Rfam family "tRNA". From Rfam's summary of the family: Transfer RNA (tRNA) molecules are approximately 80 nucleotides in length. Their secondary structure includes four short double-helical elements and three loops (D, anti-codon, and T loops). Further hydrogen bonds mediate the characteristic L-shaped molecular structure. tRNAs have two regions of fundamental functional importance: the anti-codon, which is responsible for specific mRNA codon recognition, and the 3' end, to which the tRNAs corresponding amino acid is attached (by aminoacyl-tRNA synthetases). tRNAs cope with the degeneracy of the genetic code in two manners: having more than one tRNA (with a specific anti-codon) for a particular amino acid; and 'wobble' base-pairing, i.e. permitting non-standard base-pairing at the 3rd anti-codon position. The record is from RNAcentral. Lineage: Eukaryota; Metazoa; Arthropoda; Insecta; Hemiptera; Aradidae.
AGUUAAUUAAGCUUUAGAAAAGCAUGUAUUUUGAAAAUACAAGAAUGUAGUUAAAUUCUACUAUUAACUU